GCGGGCCCGGCGCUCUGCAGGGGGAGCCGCGAGCUCUGCUGACGCUCCUGGCGGGGCCCUGCGGGAGGCUGGCCUGGCGAGCUGGGCACGUUCGAAAUGGGACAGACGGACAGACAUCCACUCCACUGGGGGGAGAAAUGAGACUGAAACAUCUGUAAAUGAUGGAGUCCAGAUAUCCCAGUCCCUCAUCUAUCUUUUUAUGGGCCAGAUUGUGAGCUUUUCACUCCUGUUGAUGAACAAUUCCUCAUACAUUUAGUCUCACCAAAGUGAAUGGAAUUGUCCAGAUGAGUACUUUCACAGAUUUUUGAAGUCAGAAAGGAUUAUUAUGAUCAUCUGGUCUGACCAGUUUCUCACCAUGAGUAUUAAUAUCAGACCAAAUCCUAAUAAGUGCAUAGCAUCUGCUGAACUGCUGCAACUCCCCAUUGAAGUUAAUGGAAUUCAAUAAUCAGUUCUUCUUGGGAUUUGGACCAUAAGAAUUACAGAUCCAAAGUAAUUAUUUCACACAAUACCCCAUAUGAUUUCAGGAUAUGAUACUGUAUUUUGGUGAUGUGCUGCUCUAGAGAGCAGAGUUGUACCUGUUUAUUCAAGUAAAGUAAGAAGAAAUGAUCAAGUUGUUUAAAUAGUGCUUGUAUUAAUCAAAAGUUUGAAAGACUUUUUUCCUCCCUCCUGCUAAUCAACCUGACUCCAUAGUUACUUAUGAUGGUGCAUAUGUGGCAAAGUUCAAAUAUCCCUAUGAGAACAAGCUAAACAAUGUCAAAUAAGCUAACGCAGAGAGGAGAAGUAGACGAGUCUCACACAUAUACUUUCAAUUUCUGAAAAAUUACUAGUGACAGGUAACCAUUAUAAACCACUCAGUUGCAGAUUUUCAGAAAUUAAAAGUAUAAGUGUGAGAUUCCAGUGAGUUGACUGAGAUGAAGAACAUUGACAGCAGUAGUUAUUGGAAACGUGGCUGCCUCCUCUGGAUAUGCUGGUCAAAGAUUAGCUCAUCCAAGGUUAGUUGUGAAACUGUCAACUUUUUCAAAUACCUACUACAUUUUGAAAAAAGCAAGGUAAGAAUUAGAGAUGAAUGUAAAGCUCUGUAUUGUAAAUUCUUUUACUGCAUCCUAAGAUUGGUAUUCCAGUUUUAGAUCUCUUCUUUUUGCCUAUGUCCUUACACGAUGCUCAUCAUCGUGGUAACUGUGAAAUAUCAGAGAAUGUUUUAAGGGCCAAAUUCUACUCUCAUUUACACCUGUGUAAAUUCAGAGUAACCUCAGUGAUUUAAAUUUGGGUUUACUGGAUUUACUUUACUUGGAUACAGUGUCUCUGCAAAUGCUGAAACUUCCUUAUCAAAAGAACUAUGCAGUUCCACUACACCGAGAUGGCAGGAUGCCAGGGGAGCUGCUACAGGGUGGAGGGAGAGGUACAGUAUGAACACCAGAGUUAUGAACACCCGAGUUAUGAAUUGAUGAUCAACCACAUGCCUCAUUUGGAUCCAGAAGUACGCAAUCAGGCAGCAGCAGAGACAAAAAAAAAAAAUCCACUACA
Chrysemys picta bellii (western painted turtle) is the source of this 1524-nucleotide non-coding RNA. NCBI's taxonomy places the organism in Eukaryota, Metazoa, Chordata, Testudines, Emydidae. The record is from RefSeq and is a predicted model, not a curated record.